Molecule: ribosomal RNA, 383 nt
Filed under: uncultured bacterium
Lineage: Bacteria
Description: bacterial SSU rRNA
Rfam family: Bacterial small subunit ribosomal RNA
Source: RNAcentral
UCUUCGGCAAUGGACGAAAGUCUGACCGAGCAACGCCGCGUGUGCGAUGAAGGCCUUCGGGUUGUAAAGCACUGUCGAGGGGAAACAAGCCGUAAGGUUGAGUGACCCCUGGAGGAAGCACGGGCUAAGUUCGUGCCAGCAGCCGCGGUAAGACGAACCGUGCAAACGUUAUUCGGAAUCACUGGGCUUAAAGGGCGCGUAGGCGGGUGAUCAAGUCAAUGGUGAAAUCCUCCAGCUUAACUGGAGAAGUGCCUUUGAUACUGAUUGUCUAGAGGGAGGUAGGGGCAUGUGGAACUUCAGGUGGAGCGGUGAAAUGCGUAGAUAUCUGAAGGAACGCCAGUGGCGAAAGCGAUGUGCUGGACCUUUUUUGACGCUGAGGCGCG